Molecule: long non-coding RNA, 1154 nt
Organism: Oreochromis niloticus (Nile tilapia)
Lineage: Eukaryota; Metazoa; Chordata; Actinopteri; Cichliformes; Cichlidae
Exons: 3
Source: RefSeq, a predicted model, not a curated record
UGCAGGAAGUUUGCCUCCAUCUCUGUUGUUUUCUAACUUUGAACAGAAACUGAUGAUGUCAAACGUCAGCUGCAGGUUUUCUGAGAGCAAAGCUGAACUUCUGUAUUUACAGGAUAAUAUCUGAGACAAAAUCAGUGAUUGCUCCACAAAGCACCAGGUUCACCAAACUCUAACUUUCAACUCUGAGUUUCCAGUUUCACAGAAACGCAUGUAGGUGACAGGACAGAAUCACCAUGGCAACGGGUAAACAACGAGCAGAGCUUCAGGGAACUGAGGAAGAUGAAGAUGAUCAAUGUGGGGCAUGGAGUGUAUCUUUAAAAUUCAUCAUCAUCAUCAUCACUCAGUCACCAUCUGGCCAACUUGUAGAUUAUAGAUAAAACUGCAGUUCUGCCAAAUUUCACAUCUGAGUUUUAAAUCCAAUGAUUCAGCUUCACGGAGAUGAAGAGCAGGUGGACAAAACUGGAGAUAAUAAUAUGAAUCAAACAGAUGAGACCCAGUUUACUGACAGACCUGUGAGAUAAAUGUCAGUCUCAUCUUCACUAAGAUAUUCAGAUCAUCUCCACCUCUGAUUAUUUUCCAUCCCUGUAACUGAUCACAGCCCCGUAAACGAUUGAUCCCUGAUCAGCGUGUGCUCCGUGUUUAGAUUUCUCCUUCUGUGUGAAUGUUCACUGCAGUGCGUCUCCUGUUUCCUCUCCUGCUGCUGUUUGUGGCUCCAAAACAAACUGACAGUAUUUGGUAGUGAAAUGGCGCCACCUCGUGUCUCUAUGCGAUGCAUUUCACUGACGUCACAGCCAGUUAAAGUUAAUCCUUCCUGUCUUUGUUACAGGUGAUGAGGCUGUCAUUGAAGGCCUCGGGACAGAUCUGAUGGCUGCAGUCUGUUCUGUUAUCUCCUAGAUGCAAGGUGCAUCUGAAACAGACAGGAGACUGUAAGGUGGAGUCAGGGGAGAGUGUAGGUGGUCAGGUGGAAGCUGAAGAAGGAGGAGACAGUCUCUGGGUGGUAGAGUACCAGAUGACUGAAGUGCUGAGGACAGCAAACCUGUCACUUAACUAAGUUUAAGGUAACAGCAGGUACUCACUGGAUUCCUCGUACUGUUGACACACACACAGCUGGAUCAGCAACAACUGCGAUCGGUGCUUCACUUUGUUCUCACCUG